AGCGGAAUUGAACCGAACAAAUAGCCUAUAUAUGCCCUUUGACUUGUUGCUUGUUUAUAUGGCCAGAAUUACCAGCUCGGUCGUGGUGACACGAACGAUAGUGUUAUCUACUGUUCAGCGACUCGGUGGCAAAUAAGGUUUCCAACAUGAUUUUUCUCUCGCCCUGUCCUAUUCUUAAUUCUCUCAUCCAAGCCCAGUUUCAUUUAUUUGCUACGUUUCGAUUCAUCUCCUCUACAGUAUUAGUAAUCAUGACUCUGAGGUGUAGUGAAUUUUCUCUGAAUGAUGGUCGCAGUCAACCGUUCCUGAUACAGGCAGUAGGUCGUGGUCAGACUGCUGCAGAUUUUUAUGCUCAAUACCAAGCUCAUUCAAUUGCCACAACAACAACAACAUUAGCAAUCGCAGCAGCGCUAGAGAUGUUGUGCAUAUGGCAGCCGCCUGUCGACGAGGUCGCUUACUCGUCAGGCAAUCGACAGUCAUUGGCAGCGGAUGCGCGAUAGAGAACCGGUGCUCUCUGUUUUAUAGUCUACUGCCAUGGUUCCCCCCGUCUACUACUCGGCUGUCUGCCAGGAUACUAAUCCAAUAGUUAAUGCAGCAACUAGGCGAACGACGAGUGAUUCAGUAGUCGCCAUCAUCGCCGCCAUUUGCUCACCGCAUAUAAUAAUUUGUUUGUGAUCGUGGGGUUGUUGAUGCUGCCGCCGCCAUCGAUGCCCGUAUUCUGAACAACAGGCGACCGGACGCGUCAUGCGCGACGCGCUGGCGGAGUCGGACGCUAAUAGCACCGUUUUUUUGAUGCUGCUGCUGUCUGCUAGAAAAAACGAAUUUACAUUCGUGGCUGAGAUUCUAAAGAAGGGGUGAUUAAAAGGGUAAAUAAAACUAAAGAAAAUUCGAAUUUCAAAUAUCCAAAAAUAGCGGACGGUGUAACCAUGUUGGCGUGUGUGCGUGAGCGUGUGGGCGCGGACACAGUUCAGCAAAAGCGAAGCACAGAAUUAAUUGGAUUUCCAGAAAAAACGAAGCGGACGGAACUGAUGGAUGAUGAAAGGCAAAUAGAUUAAGGCACGAGCUGAGAUCAGGAGGCACUCUUUGGACAUUUGAGGCUUUCUGCUUACCUACAGAUGGAUGGCUAACAUACGACACCCUAAAGAUUUUUCUUACAAAUGGUUCCUGAGGCGUAGAGGGAUCGGUUUUGAAAGGUCACACCAAAACGCACAGCACUUGGCGAAGCACCACGGAUCAGCACUUUUCUUUGCUACUGCACACGAACCUCACUCACGGCAAUAGCAUAGACAAGCUACUACAUAGGGAAGGGCCGAUCAUUGGGCCGGGAGCGAGUCACAACGGGCGCUCCCCAGGAGCGAACUGCUGUGCGCGGCUCGUCAGCUGGGGAAAGGGUCGCCAAAACUGAGAGAGUACAGCCCACACGAUAUGGAUGACCGCGAUGAUCUUUGCUGAAGAGAACGCUUACAGCUAUCUCUGGUACUAGAACUGAGCAUAAAUAUGAGAUCACAGACAGUUUUCGGCCUGUGUUGUUGAAUAGAGAACCUCCCAGCUCAUGCAACCUAUAAUACAACAACAUAUAUACAUACAACCACAACAACAACAGCGCCAACCACUACAACAAGAAUGACCAGCACGUGUGAAGGAAAAUACUGUUCAGCGAUCUAAGUCAAUUUCGUUAUAUGUAUGACGCAUCAAUGAGAACAGAAGAGAGACUAAACGUUCGAGGCGCUACUGAGGUUCGCGCAAAGCAGCUCUUUCCUCUAGCUGACUGCGAUCGAAGGCGAACAGGCCGAAGCCGAAAAAAAAAGAUUUUACCGAGGUCCUUUCGAUUUUUGGUUGACUGUGUCCAGGCGAUGGCGAGCGGUAUGGCAGCGACUACGUCAGCAGUUUAGUUAGCAGCCAACGGUAGCAAUAACAGUAUGGACUAUCUCAGGAGAUUCACCCUUCACAGAGACACAGACAGGAUGGUCAAGAGCAGUAUAAUCAUAGUAUAAGAGAAGAAUGGUAGUAUUUGUCGACAUCUGUAUUGCUGUUGAUUUUGCCAUUGUUUGUUGAUCAGUGGGCACAUCAUCAGCGUUAUUGUCAUCCUUCUAGUUCAUAGCGGCGGCUACUACGUUACUUGCAACGCUUAACAUGCGCCCAUCAUGGUGUAAUGCGUGGCGGUUCGUUCAGGUCAAAUCUCCUUUGUUGCUGUCCGAAGGAUUUCCCUUCUGUGUGCUGUAACGCUGGUGUAAGCCCAUUCUUUUGGCACUUCUGUUGCUGCAGUGUCUUCUUACCCAAGUGCUUCCCCUCGACUGCUUGCGAUAGCUCCUUCCAAACGAAGUUCAACGGGUCGUUCGUUACCUAAUGCGAAGUCGGCCGAGCGCUUGUUACCAGGGACAGACCGACGGCUUGGCUAGUAAACCGCCCCGUAGCAGCGAAAGCUACAGUCAUAGCCUAGAUUAAACCGCAGAGAGGUGAGUUGGACAAAUAGACGGACCGAGUCCUUCUUCAGUCAUGGCACGAUCAUCGUCGCUGCGACCAUCACCGCAGCUUCAAUAGAAUACGAGCCGGCAGAUAGGCUGUCAAACAGAAGACGAAGGAAAGAAAGCAAUGUAAAUGCAUCACUGCAAGUAUGUGUGUAUGUACUAAAUAGAAUAUCAAGACAAGAAAGCAGCCGUAUGGUACAGUGAUUUUGUGCUAUUUUUUCUGAGAGAUGUUCAUAGAAAAGGAAAUUGUCAUUCAUACAAGACGAUGCUCAUACGAGGUCAAAUAUAGAAACAAAGGUAAAAACGACACAAGCAUACGGGUCAGACAAGAAGCACGGAUAUUGGGGGGGGGCUGUAUAAAAAUUGUCGCUAAUAGAACAGUAAUAGUACCGUGGAAUCAAAGAGUUACGGUGUAGGUAAUAAUAAAGUAUAUUGCUGUGGAGGAUUAAGAGGAUACUUAG
Molecule: long non-coding RNA, 2926 nt
Filed under: Varroa destructor (honeybee mite)
Lineage: Eukaryota; Metazoa; Arthropoda; Arachnida; Mesostigmata; Varroidae
Description: uncharacterized LOC111253804, transcript variant X1
Source: RNAcentral